ACAGCAGCAGCCGCGGUAAUACAGAGGGUGCGAGCGUUAAUCGGAUUUACUGGGCGUAAAGCGUGCGUAGGCGGCUUCUUAAGUCGGAUGUGAAAUCCCUGAGCUUAACUUAGGAAUUGCAUUCGAUACUGGGAAGCUAGAGUAUGGGAGAGGAUGGUAGAAUUCCAGGUGUAGCGGUGAAAUGCGUAGAGAUCUGGAGGAAUACCGAUGGCGAAGGCAGCCAUCUGGCCUAAUACUGACGCUGAGGUACGAAAGCAUGGGGAGCAAACAGGAUUAGAUACCCCGGUAGUCCUGUCUCUUAUACA
This 305-nucleotide ribosomal RNA is filed under the name uncultured bacterium. RNAcentral describes it as "partial 16S ribosomal RNA". It matches the Rfam family "Bacterial small subunit ribosomal RNA", at positions 505 to 809 of the family's 1533-position model. The record is from RNAcentral.